This 497-nucleotide ribosomal RNA is filed under the name uncultured bacterium. Its description in RNAcentral is "partial 16S ribosomal RNA". It matches the Rfam family "Bacterial small subunit ribosomal RNA", at positions 28 to 507 of the family's 1533-position model. The record is from RNAcentral.
GAUGAACGCUGGCGGCGUGCCUAAUACAUGCAAGUCGAGCGAACAGACGAGGAGCUUGCUCCUCGGACGUUAGCGGCGGACGGGUGAGUAACACGUGGAUAACCUACCUAUAAGACUGGGAUAACUUCGGGAAACCGGAGCUAAUACCGGAGAAGAUAUUGAAGCGCAUGGUUGAAUGGUGAAAGACGGUGUUGCGGGAAGGUAUAGAGGGAUCCGCGCCGGAUUAGCUAGUUGGUAAGGUAACGGGUUACCAAGGCGACGAUGCGUAGCCGACCUGAGAGGGUGAUCGGCCACACUGGAACUGAGACACGGUCCAGACUCCUACGGGACGCAGCAGUAUGGAAUCUUCCGCAAUGGGCGAAAGCCUGACAGAGCAACGCCGCGUGAGUGAUGAAGGUCUUCGGAUCGUAAAACUCUGUUAUUAGGGAAGAACAAAUGUGUAAGUAACUAUGCACGUCUUGACGGUACCUAAUCAGAAGGCCACGGCUAACUACGUG